AAAACUACAAAUAGAACAUAAACCGGAAGACAUCAAGAAUCCAAAGUAACAAACAAAAAACCCAUGGCAGAAGCAAAAGACUAACAGGCACAGAAUCACCAACAGAAAACGGUGACAGAAACAAACAAUGAUCCCACACCGAGUCGUCGUGCCAGGAGGCCUUUUAAACAAACUAAUGACACAAUGACCAACAGGUGUGCAGCUGCAGGUGGAGCCCUACAGUGCCACCUGUUGGUCACAAACAGAACUAUGACGGCACAAAUGACACAAUGACCAACAGGUGUGCGGCUGCAGGCGCAGCCCUACAGUGCCAUCUGUUGGUCACAAACAACCAUGGCAGAUUCAUUGGAAAAAAGAGACAGCACAAUUUCUUGUGAAUCGUUUUGCCAAAUGGUAUGCCGUGAUUCCCCC
Long non-coding RNA from Hippocampus zosterae (dwarf seahorse), 411 nucleotides. RefSeq lists it as uncharacterized. The transcript is spliced from 3 exons. The record is from RefSeq and is a predicted model, not a curated record. NCBI's taxonomy places the organism in Eukaryota, Metazoa, Chordata, Actinopteri, Syngnathiformes, Syngnathidae.